Molecule: microRNA precursor, 101 nt
Filed under: Marmota monax (woodchuck)
Lineage: Eukaryota; Metazoa; Chordata; Mammalia; Rodentia; Sciuridae
Source: RNAcentral
AGUGAAAUUAUUGACUUAUGUGGUAAUUAUAUUUAACCUUCUGAAUAACUACCAGACUGUUUCCCAAGACAGCUGUACCAUAUUAUAUUCCCACCAGCAGU